GGACCCGCACAAGUAGUGGAGCAUGUGGUUUAAUUCGAUGAUACGCGAGGAACCUUACCAGGGCUUAAAUGUAAGUUGCAUAAGCUAGAGAUAGCUUUUUCUUCGGACUACUUACAAGGUGCUGCAUGGUUGUCGUCAGCUCGUGCCGUGAGGUGUCAGGUUAAGUCCUAUAACGAGCGCAACCCCUGUUGUUAGUUGCCAUCGAGUAAUGUCGGGAACUCUAACAAGACUGCCGGUGCAAACCGUGAGGAAGGUGGGGAUGACGUCAAAUCAUCACGGCCCUUACGUCCUGGGCUACACACGUGCUACAAUGGCCGGUACAGAGAGCAGCCACUACGCGAGUAGGAGCGAAUCUCAAAAAGCUGUCUCAGUUCGGAUUGUUGUCUGCAACUCGACAACAUG
RNAcentral lists this ribosomal RNA (402 nucleotides) under uncultured bacterium. Its description in RNAcentral is "bacterial SSU rRNA". It matches the Rfam family "Bacterial small subunit ribosomal RNA", at positions 917 to 1322 of the family's 1533-position model. The record is from RNAcentral.